This 544-nucleotide ribosomal RNA is filed under the name Bipolaris sp. CCN34. Its description in RNAcentral is "eukaryotic LSU rRNA". The stretch from base 167 to 320 matches the Rfam family "5.8S ribosomal RNA". The record is from RNAcentral. Lineage: Eukaryota; Fungi; Ascomycota; Dothideomycetes; Pleosporales; Pleosporaceae.
UCAUUACACAUAAAUACGAAGGCCGUUCGCGGCUGGACUAUUUAUUACCCUUGUCUUUUGCGCACUUGUUGUUUCCUGGGCGGGUUCGCUCGCCACCAGGACCACAAUAUAAACCUUUUUUAUGCAGUUGCAAUCAGCGUCAGUACAACAAAUGUAAAUCAUUUACAACUUUCAACAACGGAUCUCUUGGUUCUGGCAUCGAUGAAGAACGCAGCGAAAUGCGAUACGUAGUGUGAAUUGCAGAAUUCAGUGAAUCAUCGAAUCUUUGAACGCACAUUGCGCCCUUUGGUAUUCCAAAGGGCAUGCCUGUUCGAGCGUCAUUUGUACCCUCAAGCUUUGCUUGGUGUUGGGCGUUUUUGUCCCCCCCAAAAAGGGGACUCGCCUUAAAAGGAUUGGCAGCCGGCCUACUGGUUUCGCAGCGCAGCACAUUUUUGCGCUUGCAAUCAGCAAAAGAGGACGGCAAUCCAUCAAGACUCCUUCUCACGUUUGACCUCGGAUCAGGUAGGGAUACCCGCUGAACUUAAGCAUAUCAAUAAGCGGAGGA